Nannospalax galili (Upper Galilee mountains blind mole rat) is the source of this 1939-nucleotide long non-coding RNA. The record is from Ensembl. NCBI's taxonomy places the organism in Eukaryota, Metazoa, Chordata, Mammalia, Rodentia, Spalacidae.
UACAGUGAAAACUCUUCCUUAGUGCUGGGGGCCUACUUCAGUUCGUAGAGGAUUUGCACAGUAUGCACAAAUCUCUGGGUUUGAAUUCCCGUACUGCAUUAAAAAAAUUGGAUGUGGGACUGGAGAGAUGGCUCAUCGGUUAAGAACACUGGUUGUUCUGCAGAAGAUCCAGAUUUGAAUGCCAGCACCCACUCAGCCGCUAACAACUGUCUGUAACUCCAGUCCCAGGGAAUCCAACAGCCUUUUCUGACCUCCCCGAGCAUUGCACAAUACGGGUGCACUAACCUACAUGCAGGCAUGACACACAUACACAUAAAAAUAAUAAAUAAAAUUUUUUAAAAUUAAAAAAAUAAAAUUGGAUGUGGUGAAGCAUGCCUGUAAUAGCCCUCUGGAGGCGGAAGGAGGAAAAUCAGCUUUUUGAGUCAUUCUUUGCUACAUAGUGAGUUUGAAGUGAGCCCGGAAUACACGAGACCCUGUCUCAACAAAUGACAUAAACAUUUCCCCAAAGUAACCUAUGAAUGGUUUAUCUCAUAAGUAAAAGAAGAGAAAAUAGAAGAAAGAGACCUACUGUCAGACUUACAGGACAUCAGUGACAGCGAGAGGAAAACCAGCUCUGCUGAGUCCUCAUCAGCAGAAUCAGGUUCAGGCUCUGAAGAGGAAGAGGAGGAGGAAGAGGAAGAGGAGGAAGAAGGGAGCACCAGUGAGGAGUCAGAGGAGGAGGAGGAAGAAGAGGAAGAAGAGGAGGAGACUGGGAGCAACUCUGAGGAGGCCUCAGAGCAGUCUGCGGGUUCCUGACAUACUACCCUGGAAAGAGGAUCAAUGCAGAAGAUGGCCUCAAGCACGAGUAUUUCCGAGAGACCCCCCUCCCCAUCGACCCCUCCAUGUUUCCCACAUGGCCUGCCAAAAGCGAGCAACAGAGGGUGAAGCGUGGCACAAGUCCACAGCCACCAGAGGGCGGCCUAGGCUACAGCCAGCUGGGUGACGACGACCUGAAGGAGACAGGCUUCCACCUCACCACUACGAACCAGGGAGCCUCCGCUGCAGGCCCCGGCUUCAGCCUCAAGUUCUGAGGUCAAGAGUGGCCCUGGCCCAGCCAGGGAGAGACAGCUUGAGCUGCUGAGUCAGAAUGCCUAUCUUGGAACUGCUCAUCUGAACUUUGUCUUUCCUUCUUUUUGAAAUAUAUAUUUUGGUUUAUAAAUUUGUAGAAUUAAAUCACAUUUUCCUUCUGGAAGGCAAGCUGUUUUCAGAGGUGUCGUGAGUGCCUGCAGGUGCCACAGAUGUCCUGCCCCUCCCCACGGCAGGACCUGGUCUGGAGCAGAGCUGGGGUUCUCUGCCUCUCAGUCUUGGAGGCUGCGGCUUGUGUGUGGUGAUUGAGGCAGCUUGCUUCUUCCUGGGGUGUCAGCACCAGCCCCAUCCACACUGGCCUCAGCCCCAGAAACCAGGUGUGUGACAGCCUCAGCCAAGGUGGAUUUUUAUACAUGAGGUUUUUUACACAGUGGAUUUUUGGGGGGGGGGUCUUUUUGAGACGGUCUCCCUGUAGCCCCUGCUGUCCUAGAACUAUGUAGACCAGGCUGGCCUUGAACUCACAGAGAUCCACCUGCCUCUGCCUCCGAACUGCUGGGAUUAAAGGCGUGUGCCACCACGUCCAGCCACAGUGGAUUUUUAUAUGUGUUUUAAGGAGGAGUAAAUUAUUCUUGGAGGAAGCUCUUGUGUUUUGUUUUUUCAUUGUGCUGGUCACCAGGUGAGCCCUGUGGAUAUGCCUGGGAGGGGAGCUGCUAGCUGUCUGGACUUGGGUAAAUAGAUUGAGCUGGCAGUAUUAGAUACAGCCCUUCACCCCCCAUCUCCAUGAGCAAGCUCUUGCAGAACAGGUGCCUAUACCUGCUGUGGCCUCCACCUCUGCCCAAGCUGAUUCUCAGUCCCCCUCCCUUAUAGUAAAGCC